This 107-nucleotide small nucleolar RNA is filed under the name Gossypium arboreum. RNAcentral describes it as "Plant small nucleolar RNA R71". It matches the Rfam family "Plant small nucleolar RNA R71". From Rfam's summary of the family: R71 is a member of the C/D box family of snoRNAs containing the C (UGAUGA) and D (CUGA) box motifs. Multiple nearly identical copies of this snoRNA have been identified in Arabidopsis, and it is thought to function as a 2'-O-ribose methylation guide for 18S ribosomal RNA. The record is from Rfam by way of RNAcentral. Lineage: Eukaryota; Viridiplantae; Streptophyta; Magnoliopsida; Malvales; Malvaceae.
AACCCAUGGUGAGGGCACCUUUUUAGUAAGUCUUUGUAUCUCUCCCAUGCAUCGAAAAGAGUUUCUAAGUCCAUCUACAUAAACAAAGAGAUAUCAUUACGUAAUUU